This is a long non-coding RNA of Drosophila ananassae, 2013 nucleotides long. RefSeq lists it as uncharacterized. The record is from RefSeq and is a predicted model, not a curated record. Lineage: Eukaryota; Metazoa; Arthropoda; Insecta; Diptera; Drosophilidae. The transcript is spliced from 2 exons.
GGAUAUUUCUUACUAUAUAUUUAAUUUGAUAAGACUAAGAGUAAAAUCAGUGACUUGACUAUUAAUUUAUCAACCAGCAAUUAAAAAGAAGUGUAGAAAUAAAUUAGUGAUCUGGAGUUUUGCAAUUAUCAUUCACACUAUAUAUUAUUGAUACUAAUUACGUAAAAGUGAUCAUGAGAGUGAUGAAUGCCAUUAAUAUUUGCCAAUUCAUGCCGCAACCCAAAUUCAAAUCAAUUUUAUUCAAAAAAGUGUGUAAACGAAUGAUCUCUGCCAUCCCAAGGAUCAAUCCAUUUGGCAUUACCACAAAUAAUUGAUCAGAAACAGUGGGAUUAUGCGGCGAACCAAACAUCAAACACCAAACACGAGACAAAAAUAAACACAUUGAUCACUCGUUGAGCCUUUUGUGGAGCACUUUUUCUAUUAAAUUUGACAUUUGACAACAAUGAUUCACAGUGAUUCAGCACGAAUUGGGCUUUCGAGACUCUAUAAACAAAAAAGAGCCGCCAAAUGUUGCAUAUAGGAUUGGCUUUCCCAAAGCCUCGGGUCCAAGUGUUAUUACUCCAUCAGCUGAAACCUUAAGACUUUGAGUAUCUCACAACAUGGUGCACAGUAAUAAAAUAUUAGGGAUUUAUAAAAUAUGUUAUCCAUUAAAUAAUUACCUAGUUUUUGUUGGAAAGUACAAGCAAUUUUAGUCACUUUUGAAUUACUUUUUUAAACCUCAUUUUUAACCUUUAACUGGGUUUAUUUUUAAAUAUUUUGUAUGACUUUUUUUUGAGGGUAUGCCCCAAAACCUCUGGCACUGUUUAUCUUUUUGGCCAGGCGCCAAGUCAAAUUUCUUUCAGUUAUUCCAAUCGCAGAGUCAGUCGCACCUUAAAACCGGUUGACGGCAUUUAAAACAUUACCUCAGUAAUACUCCAAACUCCAGUCUCGAAAUGACUCUGACAACUCUCUGGCAUACAAGUGUCUGUUUUGGUGGGGGGCUUGGAGAUUCCAAUUCCAAUGACGCCUACGUGCAACGGUUUUGGAAUCUAAAAUCUUGUUGCACAGAUCUUACAGGGCGACCGGUUUCGUAAAGCCCUUUCGUAGCACCCGACUCAGAUCGGAGGAGGCUCAGAUCUCGAAUGGAAAUCGUCUUUCGGGUGGAAAUGUCAAGUGUGAAAUGGAAACAAAAUGUCAGACACAAAGACUCUGUAACCUCAUAGACUAUAGACAGUAACAAAAUGCAGAAAUAAAGCAUCUAAUAGGUAACCUUGGACUUAAUAGAAAUCAAAUCGAAGCAAAACAAAACUCCCAUGGAGAGGCAGAGCCCGUUCGAUUCAUGUGUAAAUUAGCCUUACAUAAGCGGCUUAAAAGACCGAUUUGUUGUUAUUGUAUACCUAUAUGGCUUUGUGUAUUUUUAGCAAUUGCAGAAAGCCGCAAAAAAAUGAGAGUCAAAAGCAAAGGCAAAAUAAACACCAUUAUAAACAGCAGCAAGCUACAAAAUAAAUAAUAACAACAAAAGAUCGGAACAGCAGCCGGCGUAAAGAGCGCAACUAAUUUAUAAUAAUACUAAUAGCACAAUGCACAAAUAUAGUAAUAAUUUAGUGGCAAUUGCCCAAGAGGAUAGUUGCCUUAACGAGCUGAUUAAAUGCCAAAUCAAGCCAUCAAGACCUUUUCUGAGACCUCGCUUCUGUUAGAUUGGCGAUUAGAGUUACGAUUGCCAAUCGCACUCUUUGAAUGCAAAAAAUUUGCACUUCUGUGCAGCCCGUGGCGUCGCCGACUUUUCGAAAUGCUCAGCCAAGCAUUAAUUUCUAUAUAUAAUUUAUAAACAAUUGAAUAACACCAGCGAUCCAAGUUUAGUUCACUUCACCGCCUCAGGGCAUAAUAAGGAAGCUCACGUCUCCGGGAGCCCCAAAAAACGAAAUAAAUGGCAGGCACUUUAAAGAAACGAUUAAAUGGUCAUACAUCAUAGUUUUUUAACGCCAACGACAAUGUAAUGAGAGUAAAGUGCUUCCAAAAUUGGGUGAAAAUAAA